UUUAUCUGAUUUUAAUACAUGCUGAAUCUAUGUGCCAAUUUUAAUUUAUAACCGCUUUUAUUCAAUUGUUAAAAGAAGGUGAACAUCGUUUAAAACGUGUCUUUAGGUCGCGUCACAUGAAAUGCACCUGCAAUCCUAAGCAUAUUUUAUCCAACAUUUUGGGAUUUGAUUUGGGUCACAUGAAAUGCACACCCGAGUUUAAGAAGGUAAAUUAUCAAAAUACGCGCUUAAAGUAACUAACGCGUUAUUAUCUUUGAGGAAGGCCGUGAAAUUCGUUGAACGGCUCAUCUCGAAUUCAAAGUACUUUAAUAUAAGCAAUUAAAGAGGGCCCCACAACUUAUGCAUUUUAUUUGGCGGGGCGCACCUCGUUUAUUAUUUAAGGGUCAACCUAAAGCAAACUAUGGUUCUUUGUUUAAUUUGUCUCUAAUAAUAAAAGAAAAAGCCCUAAUUAAUUAAGGUUAUUAAAAUUCGGGCCUCGAAUCCAAGUCCGAAUUCAAACAAAAGGGCAAGCCUCUUAGCUCAAAUCCGUCACCUAAAUCAAAGGCUCUAAAUUGAUAUCACUUUAAAUUACGAUUUAAGGCCUUUAAGCCCAAAUUCAAACUAGAGAACUUUAGUAAGCUUAGAUGAGUGUGGGCAUGUUAAAAAGGCCCAAAAUGAAAGUAAGCUGAACUUUACAAUUAAAAUUAAUUAAGCAAGUAAAAUUAACUCAGCAGGCUUUUAGAAAACGAACAGAAAAUAAAAGCCUUAUACUAAACAAUUGACCAAUACAUGAAAUAAUAGGCAUGAAUUAGGAAGAACCAAUUUAAAAUUCAAUGUUUGUCCUAAACAACUUUUAAUCAUAAUUCCAUUUCAGAUUCCAUUUUAAUCUAGCUGAUUGUUUUUUGGAGAAUUGAAGCAAGUCACUUUGCCAGUUUUAAACAUUUACGACGAUUGAAUGGAUCAACAAUUCACCCAAAUGUGCAAAAGGUUCAGCACCUGAUUUUAUACUUAUGAACCUACAACCAAUCAUAUUCCAUUUGUAAACUAGUAAAUUGGCAAGUGUGAAUUAAUUCAUGCUUUUGUCUCCAUUUGUUAAAUACUCACACAUAUUCAAAGGUUCGACUGCUAACUACACAUGAGGAACUAAAAUUAGUUUUACAUUUAUGUUGCUGUUAACAUCAAACUACGAAUCUACACCAGCUAACGAAUAUCAACAAUCUGAUACAAAUCAUCAGUCCAAACAGCUCAGUCUUAUGUUCAAAUAGGUCAAUAGAAUAAUAUGAAACUACCGGAGAAUCUAACAUGAAAAUUGACAAAAAACAAAGCUAUUCUGCCAUUGAAUUCAUGUUCACAACUUGGAGAUUUCAGGAUGUAUACCUGGAUUUGAAUGAAUAGAAGAACAUGAGUCAGUCACAGAGUGUUAGACAGUAAUCAACAACUCAAAUCAGCAGCAAACAAAACCAACUUUAGGCCCGAAUCAACACCACAAUUCCCAGGAAGGAAUAACAGGGAAGCAACUCCAAGUGAAUCAACCAAACACACUUGUUUGAACUCAAAUUUACUUGAAUGUAAACCAUGAACACCUUUGAAAACUUCAGCAACCAAAAUUAAGCUAAAUGAUGCAAAUCAACACUAAACUUUAAAUUAAACCCAAAAUUACAAUAGAACAGUUUUUUUUAGUUUUCUGCUGUAUUUUCCUUUUGUUUUUGGUUUUCUUUGAAGAUUUGGAAUUUGAAUUUCAAAUUUCAUAUUUGAAACUUGAAGAACACUUUUUUAGGGAAUUUUCAGUUGUGGAAAACUUUGGAAUAUUUUUGGGGGAAAAUUUUUUGAGGCUCAAAACUUGUGAAUUAAGGUAUUGGGGCAGCUUUAUAUAGGUACAGAUGAGGGCAGCCUCAAAUUACUUCAGUUUUGCAUUACAUCCUUUUUUUAAUUUUCGUUUUUUGCAUAAGUAUCCCUAAAGUUGUGACUUGUUUUCCAAGUUGCUCUAUCUAAAGUCUGAAAUUUCAAUUGAGACCCCUUUUAGGUGCUUCUAGAAUCUGUUACCAAAGAUUUCUUGAGUUGAAUUCCCUAAACUAAGCCCCCAAGUACCGUGUUAUUACUGUUAGAGACAAUUAAGUCAAGCUGAACCAAAUACCCAAACAAAUUGGGUUUUAUCAAACAAGUUCCCCCAUUUUUUAGGCCUCAAAUCACCAAACCCCAACCAAAAAUUAAACUCAAAAGACUGAAUGGGCCAAUGGGAGAUACCCCAACAAAAUCAAAAUUUAAUAAUUUGCAAACAAAGUCGAAUGAAAUGAAAAUAAUGACAGAACUUAACAAGCUUGAAACAAACACGAGCAAACAAAUCUCAAAUCAAGCAGGCGUGGUCAACUUGGAGCGAGAGAAAAAAAAUGGCAGAGAGGAGAAGAGAGAGGCAAACAAUGCAUGGCAUUGGUACUGAGGGACUAAACAAAAGAAUAAAAUGAACAAAAACACCUAUUUGCAAAUGGACGAAACUCGGGCAACUUCAGGCAACUUUGAUUUGACCCGAAACUGGUAUUACCCGCGCGUUCUUUUGAGAACAGAUGAACAAUACUAGUCUCGAGCCACAUCGUUCAUAGAAAACAUGGCAGCUUUUCCGGAUUGCCUCCUUCUUCAUUUUCAGAUUUGAUUUGGACCUGGUCGUGUAAGGAUUUGGGGAGAAAUAGUAGCGGAUUGGGAAUAAGGAUAUGGUGAUUGUUGCACGGCCAGAUUUUGGUGGGGAUUGGAGUUGUUCCACCGGCGACAAUGGUGAUUAUAGGGCUUUGAGAUGAAGGGGAUGGAGUACUAGGGUGUUUGGAA
This 2796-nucleotide long non-coding RNA is filed under the name Nicotiana benthamiana. RNAcentral describes it as "long non-coding RNA (NBEN_LNC040720)". The record is from RNAcentral. Lineage: Eukaryota; Viridiplantae; Streptophyta; Magnoliopsida; Solanales; Solanaceae.